AUUAGGAUCUUGGCAGGAGUUUAAGUGCAGCUCUCCAUCUUUCCUGGGUUCUUCCUGGGAAUUUGGGGAAAGAGAGUUGAGCGUUAGGAUGUGCUAAGCUAGACAAACAGGAAGGAAAUGUGGGGUUUUGCCAGCCAUCACCUUAGAGUAGGUGACAGCAAAUCUGAACUGCGGAGCCUCUCAGGGAGAUAAGUGGAACCCAGAGAAGCACAGGACAGACAAGUAACCCUUUCCACCCCUUUGGCUUUGGAGCUCAGAGCACCUGGUAAUGGGAAGCUGGGGCUUCCCUGGUGGCACAGUGCUUGAGAAUCCACCUGCCAACGCGGGUUCAAUCCCUGGUCCAGGAAGAUCCCACAUGCCGCGGAGCAGCUGAGCCCGUGUGCCACAACUACUGAGCCUGUGCUCUAGAGCCCAUGAGCCACAACUACCGAGCCCCCAAGCCACAACUACUGAAGCCCGCGUGCUCUAGGUCCUGCGUGCUGCAACUACUGAGCCUGCGUGCUGCAACUACUGGAGGCCAUGUGCCUGGAGCCCGUGCUCCACAACAAGAAAAGUCACUGCAGUGAGGGGCCCGCACACAGCAACGAAGAGUAGCCCCCGCUCACCACAACUAGAGAAAGCCCGCACACAGCAACAAAGACCCGACGCAGCCAAAAAUAAAUAAAUAAAUAAAAAUAAAGUCCCUGAGAAGAAGAGGAUAUUAUCCCUGCUUCACAGAGAAGAAUUGACUCCGAGAAGUUAGGAAAGUCCUAGGAGCCUGGAGAGAUGUCCCAGACGGGACAGCUGUCAGAUAUCAGGACCCUUCUUUUCCUGUUAGAAUUCAUUCCACUGAUUUUCAGGGCUUCUCUGGUGGUGCAGUGGUUAAGAAUCUGCCUGCCAAUGCAGGGGACAUGGGUUUGAGCCCUGGACCAGGAAGAUCCCACGUGCCGCGGAGCAACUAAGCCCGUGCGCCACAACUACUGAGCCUGUGCUCUAGAGCCCGCAAGCCACAACUACUGAGCCCAUGUGCCACAACUACUGAAGCCUGUGCACCUAGAGCCUGGGAUCCACAACAAGAUAAGCCACCACAAUGAGAAGCCUGUGCACCGCAACGAAUAGUAGCCCCCGCUCGCCGCAACUAGAGAAAGCUUGCGCGCAGAAACGAAUACCCAAUGCGGCCCAAAAUAAAUAAUAAAAUAAAAUAAAUAAAUUUAUAUAAAAAAAACUUGCUGUAAAUUUAAAAAUUAAAGGCAAAGGAAUACACAAAUAGAUCAAUAGAAUCCUUAAUCAUAGACAGCCCAGAAACGUACCCAGGAGUAUAUGGGAACUCAGCGUAUGACUAGCAAUAUAAAGUAGUGGGGAAUGAUUAACUAUUUAAUAAAUGGUGCUGUGAAAAGCAGUUGUCCAUAAAAAAAUGGAUCCCCACCUCAAUUAUCCCCAUGGUCUAGUCUUUUGCACUGAACUGCUCCAGGCCUAUUUUUUUUUCUCUGUGGUAACUCCAGGGCCUGGUGUCUACUAGGUGGUGAGUAAAUAUUUGUUGAAUGAAGACCUCAGUCCUGGGAGAUACGCUGUGGAUCGGAGGAUUUCCGUGAUCCGUGCUGUUGCCGAGGUUUGGAGCCAGGGAGCUGAGUCCCGAGUCCACCCUCUUUUCUGUUCCUCAUCAGCUGAGCUAAUGCAACCGUCACACUGACUUCUGACGGCAAAGAAACAAACUCAAUGAUGAGUGAUGAGUAAUGCGAGAUUAUCCUGACUUCAUUCAGUGGCUGACAGAGCUCCCUUGAAGAUUUGCAGGAACAGAAUUUGUGGCUGUUUGUUCUUCCUAAGGUUAUUACAAGUGGGACAGGGAAGUAGGAGUUGAGGGGGGUCAAGGAGGAAAUAAUAAUGUAGAAAUAAAUGAUGGACCCCAAAUUACAGAUUAUAUGCACAUAAAGUAUGCAUUACAGAUACGUGUGUAAUAGAGAAAGCCCGCGCGCAGCAACGAAGACCCAAUGCAGCCAAAAAUAAAUAAAUAAAUUUAUUUAAAAAAUAAC
Orcinus orca (killer whale) is the source of this 2009-nucleotide long non-coding RNA. RefSeq lists it as uncharacterized. Lineage: Eukaryota; Metazoa; Chordata; Mammalia; Artiodactyla; Delphinidae. The record is from RefSeq and is a predicted model, not a curated record. The transcript is spliced from 4 exons.